RNAcentral lists this microRNA precursor (75 nucleotides) under Podarcis lilfordi (Lilford's wall lizard). The record is from RNAcentral. Lineage: Eukaryota; Metazoa; Chordata; Lepidosauria; Squamata; Lacertidae.
UGUUUGUGUGUGUGUGUGUGUGUGUGUGUGUGUACGCAUAUGUACACACACACACACACACACAGUAAAAAAAAA